AUAGCGUAUAUUAAAGUUGUUGCGGUUAAAAAGCUCGUAGUUGAAUCUCAGUUCCAGACAGGCGGUCCGCUCCGGUGGUUACUGCCUGGCCUGAACAUCCUGCCGGUUUUCCUGCGGUGCUCUUGAUUGAGUGUCGUAGGUGCCCGGCACGUUUACUUUGAAAAAAUUGGAGUGCUCAAAGCAGGCGUCCCGCCUGAAUAAUGGUGCAUGGAAUAAUGAAAGAGGACUUCGAGUUCUAUUGUGUUGGUUUUCGGAACACGAGGUAAUGAUUAAAAGGGACAGACGGGGGCAUUCGUAUUGCGACGCUAGAGGUGAAAUUCUUGGACCGUCGCAAGACGAACUACAG
Molecule: ribosomal RNA, 346 nt
Filed under: uncultured eukaryote
Lineage: Eukaryota
Description: SSU rRNA
Rfam family: Eukaryotic small subunit ribosomal RNA
Source: RNAcentral